CCUACGGGAGGCAGCAGUGAGGAAUAUUGGUCAAUGGACGAGAGUCUGAACCAGCCAAGUAGCGUGAAGGAUGACUGCCCUAUGGGUUGUAAACUUCUUUUAUAUGGGAAUAAAAUGUUCCACGUGUGGGAUUUUGUAUGUACCAUAUGAAUAAGGAUCGGCUAACUCCGUGCCAGCAGCCGCGGUAAUACGGAGGAUCCGAGCGUUAUCCGGAUUUAUUGGGUUUAAAGGGAGCGUAGGUGGAUUGUUAAGUAAGUUGUGAAAGUUUGCGGCUCAACCGUAAAAUUGCAGUUGAAACUGGCAGUCUGGAGUACAGUAGAGGUGGGCGGAAGUCGUGGUGUAGCGGUGAAAUGCUUAGAUAUCACGAAGAACUCCGAUUGCGAAGGCAGCUCACUGGACUGCAACUGACACUGAGGCUCGAAAGUGUGGGUAUCAAACAGGAUUAGAUACCCUAGUAGUC
Molecule: ribosomal RNA, 460 nt
Filed under: uncultured bacterium
Lineage: Bacteria
Description: partial 16S ribosomal RNA
Rfam family: Bacterial small subunit ribosomal RNA
Source: RNAcentral